GGAAAGGAUCAUAGAAUUCAACUAUACGCAAAACCAUAUAAUUAUAUAGAUAAGAACUAUGUGGUAAGUCCCAAGAAUAUUAGAUUUAUUACGCUGUAUUUUAUAUAAAGGUGCAAUUUACAAAGGGUUAAUAUAUGCUUAAUAGAUAUUUUAUGGACCUGAUAAAUGAGCAAUGUAUAUAUCAGAAAUUGUUAUAUCAGUUGAAGAUGCUAGAGAUAAUUAUUAGCAACUAGUGCCCUUUUAGAUACUAAAGCAUUUAUUUAAAUAUCUAUUAACCUUAUAUUACCUCUUUAUAUACUUUUAUAUACAAUUAUACAUUAAAUCCUUAACGUAGAAAAGUGUGAUCACUUAUUCAUUAUUUCCCUUAAUCCAAUAAUUUUCAUAGUUAUAGCUAUCUUGAAUGUAUAAACAGAACUGCUACACACUUAAAAGUCAUUUUCUAAGAUGAAUAUGUGUUGAGUCCAGUAGACAUUGUGUGUGGCAGGUAUAAAUUUGUUAAAAUGUCAGCUCUUCAGAGAUAUAAUCUCUUUCCCUUUCUGCCCUUAUUCAUUUACAUUUAUUUAAUUUUAAAACUAUGAAAGUGCUGAAUUGACAACACUGGAAUCCAGGAUGACCAGCAACAAUUUUUGUGCUCUCCAAAUGCCCAUUUUGAGAGCAUAUUCUAACUCCUUUUCCAUUAAAUACUUGGCAUUGCUGUAAAAAGUCUCCUUAGAAGAACACCUUGCAAUACCAGCUGCUAACUGUGAUAAGACAACAAAGAAUGGUGGGUCACCCUACUGCAAGGCACUGAGCUGAGAUUUUAUAACAUGGGCUUUAUCACAAUGAACAAAAACAUUUGGAAAUGCACAGAUUAAUCAUAACUAGUUAAUGAGCUGAUUACAUAAUUAAUCAUAACUAACUGAUUUAUUCUGUUUAGUUCAGACCACCACAACCAACAUGAAGAGAUGAGAGUAAUUGAAGAGGUAGAUGUUGUACAGUAGUUAAGGCUCUAAAAAAAGGCUAAUGUUAUAAAGGCUCUAAAAAAUGGGAAAAAACAAAUGGCAAAUUAUCAACUACUUGGGCAGUCAGUGAUUAAUUUCAAUUCCAUGCUACUACUCUGCACAAUCUAAAUAUUUGCUGUCCAAAACUGCAGUAGUCCAAAAAUGGACCUUACAGUUGGAAGGGAUUAGAGACCAUUUCCCUCAACCUUACUAAAUGCCAAAAUAUCUAAUGCAUGAGGAUACCUCACCAUAGAACAUUUUUAAAAGCUUUAAAAUUUUAAUGAUUGACUUCAGAUCUCCCCAGUGCUAAACAUGGAAGGAAAGGCUGGUAUUUUCAAAGGCACCAAACUGUCUUACCAUCCUCUGAAAAUCCAAGUGAAAAUACACUAGAACUUAGCAUAAAGGAAAGCUCAGCUAUUAAACCAAAUCUUUUAAUAGAAGGUAUUCUAGUCACUUCACACCAAGAAAGAACAAGACAUAUUUUUCCUAUCUAGGCUAUACGAGGGUUGUUCAAAAAGUAUUGAGACUGAUGCUGUAGGAAACAAAAUAUUUUAUUUACAGCGGUUUGGGCUUAAUCUCCUUUGAAGUAUGCUCCUUCUGCAGCCACAGACUUUUCCCAACGUUUCUGCCACUGUUGGAAGCACCUCUGAUACGCAAUUUGUGGAAUUGUUAAAAGCUGCCCAGUCGUAUCUUUGUUGUAUGGUUUUCACAUCACAAAAUCUUUUUCAAGGUUUUCUUUAGUUGAGGGAAGAGAAAAGAGUUGCAUGGGGCCAUACCAGGUGAAUAUGGAGGCUGCGGCACUUGCGGGAUAUGGUGUUUAGCUAAAAAUUGCUUCACAAGCUGUGCUGAGGGGGCAGGAGUGUUGUCCUGGUGAAGCAUCCAAGAGUCAGACACCCACUUUUCUGGUUGUUUUUCUGGUCAUUUAAUUCCCAAAUUGCCAGUUAGAAUUGAAUGACAUGAACCUACAGAAAUUCCAACUUCUGCUAUCUCUUGGACAGUCAAUCGCCUAUCAUUUCCAACUGAACUGCAAACCACUGCUGCAUUUUCAUCAUUUUGGGAUGCUGAAGGGUGUUUGGAACACUCAUCGCUUUUGACCAACAAUCGCCCUUCUUUAAACUGAUGAUACCAUUCAAAAACUGUUGCAUGGCUCAUAGUGUCAUCACCAAAUGCUAUUUUAAGUAAUUCAAAUGUUUCACUUGCCUUUUUCCCUAUCUUCAUGAAAAAUUUAAUGCACACGCGUUGUUCUGGACAUUCUGACAUAACAGAAUGCGACGCAAGACCCAAACGAUCUUACUUCAACUGCUGGCCACAGAAACCUGGGGAAACGCCAUGAGCUGCAAACCUGUCCAGAGGAGUCCCAACAUGCCCAGACAUUAGAGCUGUGCCCA
This is a long non-coding RNA of Gavialis gangeticus (Gharial), 2368 nucleotides long. RefSeq lists it as uncharacterized. The transcript is spliced from 3 exons. The record is from RefSeq and is a predicted model, not a curated record. NCBI's taxonomy places the organism in Eukaryota, Metazoa, Chordata, Crocodylia, Gavialidae.